CUCAGCAGAUCCUUCCAACUUUUCAAAGUGAAAAAGGACAAACGUAAGUGAGUUUUUAAAGAGGUGGCGCUCAUCGAUUUUUCCCGCUGUCCUGUGUGCAGGUUCUGCUGAACACGCACCUCCCAAUCAGUAUGUUCUGAGAGGGGAGGGAGACAGACAAAACUCCCUCCCUCCCCAUCCCAAGUCUAUCCAGCUCACGAGGGGCAAGGUCUGCAUGGCCCUGCGGGCUCUUCCUACCUAGAACGCCCUUCCAAGGUGAACUCCACACUGCAGUCCUAGACAGAGGGGUGUUUCUGGUUGGACUGUGACAUCCCAGAAAGCUGUCACUCAAAAAAGGAGUCUGGGGGGAGGGGGCCGGUGGUGUAAUACUACCUGUUCUGCUCACUUAAGCCACCAGAGCAGACGCCAUUUCUUGCCCUUCAAAGUGGGGCCAAAGGGUAAAUGUGUUUGGCAGACACAGCUGUUCAUAACAUCCACCUCUGGGUUUGCUCGUGUGUUUCAGAAAACAGGUGGGUGCACCCCUUCAGUUGAGGGAGAAAGAUUUCUUCUUCCUUGACAACAAUGGGUUGAGUAGAGUUCCAAUUUUCUCCACCUCCUGCAUGGCCAUUUUCCCCAAGCCUGCCCUCCCCUACCAUACUUAAUGUCUCUAAGACACACUGGAACAGCGGAUGCUUGGGGAGCCCAUCUGGGUGAGGACCUUGUCAAGCCACUGCAAAGGCCCAUUCAGGUGCAGCUCGAUCCAGCAGGGGGUACUGGUCACAGUCUGUCUCCU
This 772-nucleotide long non-coding RNA is filed under the name Pan troglodytes (chimpanzee). RNAcentral describes it as "long non-coding RNA NONPTRT005696". Lineage: Eukaryota; Metazoa; Chordata; Mammalia; Primates; Hominidae. The record is from RNAcentral.